CUUCAAUAUAGGUUUUGAAUACUUAUGCUACCUAAGCAGUUAACCUUUAUCUCCGCUAAUUGAGAGAUGGCUGCAUUGAAAAGUAAUGUGUCACUUUAAAACGCAUUCUAAAUUUUAAACAACUCUAGCAGCAAAGGACAUGGUUUUGAUAAUGGUUGUUAAAAGCUGUCUGACUUAUUCCAGACAGUCUUAAUAAUGAGAACUAUGUGAUCUGAAAUACUGAACUUCUGGAAUUACAAUAACUUCUGUUAAUAUGUGUGAUACAGAUUCCUGGAAACUUGAGGAGCAGUCUUCCAGCAGCCAAGGAAUGCAGUUCCCCCCGGAUGUGUGGGUAUCUUGCAGAAAUCGAACAGAAGUGGGACAGACCAGUAGUAAGAACAGUUGCAUGGAAAUGGAGCCUAUUCUAUUUUACUCUUCUUCAAAGUGCUGUAAGGUGGCUAUUUGAUGAAGGAAAUGAACAGGAUACAAAAUUGGGACGAGUGACUGAUAUACCAGAGGGCUGUGCUGCCAUUCACAGGCUGGAGAAAUGGGCAGAGAGGAACCUCAUGAAGUUCAACAAAGGGAAAUGCAAAGUCCUGCCCCUGAGGAGGAAUAACCCUAGGCACCAGGACAGGCUGGAGGCCGACCUGCUGGAGAGCAGCUUGGCAGAAAAGGAUCCUGGUGGACAAGAAGUUGACCAUAAGCCAGCAAUGUGCCCUCACAGUGAAAAAGGCCAACGGUCUUCCUGGGCUGCAUUAGGAGGAGUGUUGCCAGCAGGUCGAGGGAGGUGAUCCUUCCCCUCUACUCAGCCCUGGUGAGGCCACAUCUGGAGUGCUGGGUCCAGUUCUGGGCUCCCCAGUACAAGAGAGACCUGGAUGUACUGGAGCAAGUCCAGCAAAGGGUUUCUAAGAUGAUGAAUGGACUGGAGCCUUUGUCAUACAAGGAAAGGCUGAGAGAGCUGGGACUCUUUAGCCUGGAGAAGAGCAGGCUAAGGGGGAUCUUACCAAUGUGUAUAAAUAUCUGAAGGGAGGAUGUAAAGAAGCCAGAGCCAGACUCUCCUCAAUGGUAGCCAGUGACAGGACAAGAGUCAAUGGGUACAACCUGAAACACAGGAAAUUCCAUCUGAAUAUAAGAAAAAAUUUCUUUCCUGUGAGGGUGACUAAGCACUGGAAUAAAUUGCCCAGAGGGGUUGCA
RNAcentral lists this long non-coding RNA (1173 nucleotides) under Apteryx rowi (Okarito brown kiwi). RNAcentral describes it as "lncRNA (ENSARWG00000013100.1)". The record is from RNAcentral. Lineage: Eukaryota; Metazoa; Chordata; Aves; Apterygiformes; Apterygidae.